UACAGAGGGUGCAAGCGUUAAUCGGAAUUACUGGGCGUAAAGCGUGCGUAGACGGUUACAUAAGUCGGGUGUGAAAGCCCCGGGCUCAACCUGGGAAUUGCAUUCGAGACUGCGUAGCUAGGGUGCGGAAGAGGGAAGCGGAAUUUCCGGUGUAGCGGUGAAAUGCGUAGAUAUCGGGAGGAACACCAGUGGCGAAGGCGACUACCUGGCCUGUUCUUGACGCUGAGGCGCGAAAGCUAGGGAAGCAAACGGG
RNAcentral lists this ribosomal RNA (253 nucleotides) under uncultured bacterium. RNAcentral's name for it is "partial 16S ribosomal RNA". It matches the Rfam family "Bacterial small subunit ribosomal RNA", at positions 524 to 776 of the family's 1533-position model. The record is from RNAcentral.